GACAACUUUAAUUCCCGAUUUCUUAUCCCAUUCCUCAGGAGAAAGCGCAUCAGCCAUUAUCUUCUCCUGACCGCGCCAUAGAAUCUUGUCGAUGACACCAAACUCUUUGGCCUUUAUGGCAUCCAUAUAAAAUGGCCUUCGCAUCACCUUGGAUACCGUCUCCAAUGAAUUUCCGGUGUGCCUAGAGAUAAGUUUGACAAGUGUGUCCCUAUUAUUUAUGACCUCCUUAGCGCGAAUAAGAACAUCACUUGCCGACAUCUGUCCAGAAGAUGGGACACGAGGUUGUUGAAUCAUGGCUUUGGCAUGAGGCAUCAUAAACCGCUGCCCUUUCUUUCCUGCGGCAAGAAGUAGGCAGGCCUG
RNAcentral lists this unclassified non-coding RNA (360 nucleotides) under Hevea brasiliensis (rubber tree). The record is from RNAcentral. Lineage: Eukaryota; Viridiplantae; Streptophyta; Magnoliopsida; Malpighiales; Euphorbiaceae.